AAGUCGUAACAAGGUUUCCGUAGGUGAACCUGCGGAAGGAUCAUUAACAAAUUUUCCCAACCAACCACGUAUGUGAACCGUUCCAAAGCCCAUGGUGUGCACCGUGCGCUAGGUGAUCGCGGCAUUGCGCAAGCAUUGCCGCAUUACGAUCGCCUAGGCUUACGCCGGACCACCAUGUUUAUUUACGUCUGAAAUUACACUUGAACCUGAGACUUUAUAGUAAAACAUAAAGACAACUUUUAGCAACGGAUCUCUAGGCUCUC
This 263-nucleotide unclassified non-coding RNA is filed under the name fungal sp. Its description in RNAcentral is "partial internal transcribed spacer region". The stretch from base 1 to 46 matches the Rfam family "Eukaryotic small subunit ribosomal RNA", at positions 1786 to 1831 of the family's 1831-position model. Lineage: Eukaryota; Fungi. The record is from RNAcentral.